This 253-nucleotide ribosomal RNA is filed under the name uncultured bacterium. RNAcentral's name for it is "partial 16S ribosomal RNA". It matches the Rfam family "Bacterial small subunit ribosomal RNA", at positions 524 to 776 of the family's 1533-position model. The record is from RNAcentral.
UACGAAGGGGGCUAGCGUUGUUCGGAAUCACUGGGCGUAAAGCGCACGUAGGCGGACUUUCAAGUCAGGGGUGAAAUCCCGGGGCUCAACCUCGGAAUUGCCUUUGAUACUGUAGGUCUCGAGUCCGGAAGAGGUGGGUGGAAUUCCUAGUGUAGAGGUGAAAUUCGUAGAUAUUGGGAAGAACACCGGUGGCGAAGGCGGCCAUCUGGACCGCAACUGACGCUGAGGCGCGAAAGCGUGGGGAGCAAACAGG